Molecule: ribosomal RNA, 200 nt
Filed under: uncultured bacterium
Lineage: Bacteria
Description: partial 16S ribosomal RNA
Rfam family: Bacterial small subunit ribosomal RNA
Source: RNAcentral
GAUGAACGCUAGCGGCAGGCUUAAUACAUGCAAGUCGAGGGGCAGCACAGGUAGCAAUACUGGGUGGCGACCGGCAAACGGGUGCGGAACACGUACGCAACCUUCCUUUAAGUGUGGGAUAGCCCAGGGAAACUUGGAUUAAUACCACGUAAUAUAAUUGAGUGGCAUCACUUGAUUAUUAUAGCUCCGGCGCUUAAAGA